This is a non-coding RNA of Arachis ipaensis, 962 nucleotides long. NCBI's taxonomy places the organism in Eukaryota, Viridiplantae, Streptophyta, Magnoliopsida, Fabales, Fabaceae. The record is from RefSeq and is a predicted model, not a curated record.
UUUUUAUAACAAUUGCCAUAUAGAAUGAGCUAUUACUUGCCCUUCUUGAAAUUUGGUGUAAAAGGUAUUGAUUCAGGUAUUCAGAGAGAAAGACCUAGCUUAUGUUGAAGAUGAAGAAUGGUCUCAAUGCCAAAACCCUAAGCUCGUCGUAGCCAUUGCUGCCGCCAUCGCCACCGCCGUCGAGCAAAGGCGCCUCCUCCACCAACGCAUCUCUAGAUCUGGCAGAAAUGCCCAAACCAAACCCCUGAGUUCGAUCGAGAAAAAGCGCCUCUUCGCAAGCGAUGCUGUCGCUGCAUUCGGCUCUGCCAUUUCCUCCUCUUCACAACACUGCUCCUCCGCCGCUUGCACCGCCACCGGUCUUGCGCGUAGGCGCACAAGAUCGUCGUUGCCGGAUUUUGUUGUUGUUGUAGACGUUGCCGUCGCCAACGGUUGUUGCUGCUCCUCUGUUUAUCUUUGGUGACCAAACUUGUUGCUCAUUGUUCAUUGCUACUAUGCUCCUCUGUUUUUCUCUGGUCACGAUCGCUACUUCUCCCUCUUGACAUAUUUUUCAGUUGUUGAAUUUUCAUUUUGCUCAAUUAAUUGUGUAGUUUGAAUAUUCAGAAGCCUGAGUUUUCAUUUUUGGUUUUAUCUUCUUUUGUGGAAUUUGACAGAAGAGAGUUCAUAGAGACAUUUCCUGUUUGUCAUUAUUGAAAGGUAAUUUUUUCAACAUUCUAUUGUAUUAUGGUGUACAUAGGGAGGUAUAGGGUGUUCAUUACUUUAUUUGAUAACAGUCACAGAAGUGUGAAGUUGUAGGUUUCUAUUUCCUGUGAAUGCUAAGUAAUGUAAAUAGGUUUCAUGGUUUGGAUUAUAGGAAUUAUCAAAGUAAAAUGUUGUUGUUUUGGGCAUAAAAAAUACCCUUAUUCAAGAAGUGAGACUCAAAGAAGAAGAAACCCCUGUGACGCAGAGAAAAUGUGUAGCAAAUA